UACAGGGGUGCAAACGUUGCUCGGAAUCAUUGGGCGUAAAGCGCACGUAGGCGGUUCGUUAUGUCGGAUGUGAAAGCCCUUGGCUUAACCGAGGAAGUGCAUCCGAAACUGGCGAGCUAGAGUACUAAAGAGGAUCGCGGAAUUCCCGGUGUAGAGGUGAAAUUCGUAGAUAUCGGGAGGAACACCGGUGGCGAAGGCGGCGAUCUGGGUAGAUACUGACGCUGAGGUGCGAAAGCGUGGGGAGCAACA
This 249-nucleotide ribosomal RNA is filed under the name uncultured bacterium. Its description in RNAcentral is "partial 16S ribosomal RNA". It matches the Rfam family "Bacterial small subunit ribosomal RNA", at positions 524 to 773 of the family's 1533-position model. The record is from RNAcentral.